RNAcentral lists this ribosomal RNA (382 nucleotides) under uncultured soil bacterium. Its description in RNAcentral is "bacterial SSU rRNA". It matches the Rfam family "Bacterial small subunit ribosomal RNA", at positions 26 to 410 of the family's 1533-position model. The record is from RNAcentral.
AGAUUGAACGCUAGCGGGAUGCUUUACACAUGCAAGUCGAACGGCAGCGCGGACUUCGGUCUGGCGGCGAGUGGCGAACGGGUGAGUAAUAUAUCGGAACGUGCCCAGUAGCGGGGGAUAACUACGCGAAAGCGUGGCUAAUACCGCAUACGCCCUACGGGGGAAAGGGGGGGAUCGCAAGACCUCUCACUAUUGGAGCGGCCGAUAUCAGAUUAGCUAGUUGGUGAGGUAAAGGCUCACCAAGGCGACGAUCUGUAGCUGGUUUGAGAGGACGACCAGCCACACUGGGACUGAGACACGGCCCAGACUCCUACGGGAGCAGCAGUGGGGAAUUUGGACAAGUGGGCGCAAGCCUGACUCCAGCAAUGCCGCGUGCAGGAUG